UGCCUUAGUAGCGGCGAGUGAAGCGGCAAAAGCUCAAAUUUGAAAUCUGGCGCCUUCGGUGUCCGAGUUGUAAUUUGAAGAUUGUAACCUUGGGGUUGGCUCUUGUCUAUGUUUCUUGGAACAGGACGUCACAGAGGGUGAGAAUCCCGUGCGAUGAGAUGCCCAAUCCUAUGUAAGGUGCUUUCGAAGAGUCGAGUUGUUUGGGAAUGCAGCUCUAAGUGGGUGGUAAAUUCCAUCUAAAGCUAAAUAUUGGCGAGAGACCGAUAGCGAACAAGUACAGUGAUGGAAAGAUGAAAAGAACUUUGAAAAGAGAGUGAAAAAGUCCGUGAAAUUGUUGAAAGGGAAGGGUUUGAGAUCAGACUCGAUAUUUUGUGAGCCUUGCCUUCGUGGCGGGGUGACCCGCAGCUUAUCGGGCCAGCAUCGGUUU
This 427-nucleotide ribosomal RNA is filed under the name Meyerozyma carpophila. RNAcentral describes it as "partial large subunit ribosomal RNA". It matches the Rfam family "Eukaryotic large subunit ribosomal RNA", at positions 76 to 508 of the family's 3401-position model. Lineage: Eukaryota; Fungi; Ascomycota; Pichiomycetes; Serinales; Debaryomycetaceae. The record is from RNAcentral.